CGACGGCAUCUCCUCCACGCCUCUUCAGUUGUUGGCACGAGCAUGUGCUCGGCCGAUGUUGGUUAUCCUGUGCUGAAUACCUAUCGCUAGGGCAUUGAGUUGGCUAGAAUCGUUUGUUUCCCGCUUUGUGCUGCCGCUCCACGUCGGGUGGCGGUGCGGGGUGGGCCAAACCGCGUACGUCGUGUCUCGCACCUCGUUUUCUGUUACAGGCAUUCGGGUUGACGACACUCGAUGUUAUGCUCGAUCUCUCGGGUACGGUGCAUGAUGUGGGUACGAGGCCAUAGGCCUCCGAGCUCCACAAACAAGCGUUCUACGCUUCGUGCGAACGACGGUCGGUUCGGUCUUUGCCGUGCUCUGGUAGCUCGGUUCAAGUCGCGCCGACGUCGAUG
Molecule: unclassified non-coding RNA, 389 nt
Filed under: Salvia manantlanensis
Lineage: Eukaryota; Viridiplantae; Streptophyta; Magnoliopsida; Lamiales; Lamiaceae
Description: partial external transcribed spacer
Source: RNAcentral